AGAGCGAACGCUGGCGGCAGGCUUAACACAUGCAAGUCGAGCGGGCAUCUUCGGAUGUCAGCGGCAGACGGGUGAGUAACACGUGGGAACGUACCUUUCGGUUCGGAAUAACGCUGGGAAACUAGCGCUAAUACCGGAUACGCCCUUAUGGGGAAAGGCUUGUCUGCCGAAAGAUCGGCCCGCGUCUGAUUAGCUAGUUGGUGGGGUAACGGCCUACCAAGGCGACGAUCAGUAGCUGGUCUGAGAGGAUGAUCAGCCACAUUGGGACUGAGACACGGCCCAAACUCCUACGGGAGGCAGCAGUGGGGAAUAUUGGACAAUGGGCGCAAGCCUGAUCCAGCCAUGCCGCGUGAGUGAUGAAGGCCUUAGGGUUGUAAAGCUCUUUUGUCCGGGACGAUAAUGACGGUACCGGAAGAAUAAGCCCCGGCUAACUUCGCGCCAGCAGCCGC
RNAcentral lists this ribosomal RNA (449 nucleotides) under uncultured bacterium. Its description in RNAcentral is "SSU rRNA". It matches the Rfam family "Bacterial small subunit ribosomal RNA", at positions 26 to 518 of the family's 1533-position model. The record is from RNAcentral.